CUAUAUAUACCCUGUAGAUCCGAAUUUGUGUGAAGAAAAAUUCGGUCACAAAUUCGCAUCUAGGGGAGUAUGUAGU
This is a microRNA precursor of Scleropages formosus (Asian bonytongue), 76 nucleotides long. It matches the Rfam family "mir-10 microRNA precursor family". Rfam says of the family: In this case the mature sequence comes from the 5' arm of the precursor. The record is from Rfam. Lineage: Eukaryota; Metazoa; Chordata; Actinopteri; Osteoglossiformes; Osteoglossidae.